AACGCACGAGACCUGCGGACCUGCGGAAGGAUCAUUAGUGAACGCCCUCACGGGCUUAUAACUAUUCCAAACCUCUGUGGACCGUGCCCUUCGGGGCUAUUUUACAAACAUGGUGUAAUGAACGUCAUAUAUCAUAACAAAACAAAACUUUCAACAACGGAUCUCU
RNAcentral lists this unclassified non-coding RNA (166 nucleotides) under soil metagenome. Its description in RNAcentral is "partial contains 5.8S ribosomal RNA, internal transcribed spacer 2, and large subunit ribosomal RNA". The record is from RNAcentral.